CCUACGGGUGGCAGCAGUCGAGAAUCAUUCACAAUGGGGGAAACCCUGAUGGUGCGACGCCGCGUGGGGGAAUGAAGGUCUUCGGAUUGUAAACCCCUGUCAUGUGGGAGCAAAUUAAAAAGAUAGUACCACAAGAGGAAGAGACGGCUAACUCUGUGCCAGCAGCCGCGGUAAUACAGAGGUCUCAAGCGUUGUUCGGAAUCACUGGGCGUAAAGCGUGCGUAGGCUGUUUCGUAAGACGUGUGUGAAAGGCGCGGGCUCAACCCGCGGACGGCACAUGAUACUGCGAGACUAGAGUAAGGGAGGGGGAACCGGAAUUCUCGGUGUAGCAGUGAAAUGCGUAGAUAUCGAGAGGAACACUCGUGGCGAAGGCGGGUUCCUGGACAUUAACUGACGCUGAGGCACGAAGGCCAGGGGAGCGAAAGGGAUUAGAUACCCUUGUAGUC
This 446-nucleotide ribosomal RNA is filed under the name uncultured bacterium. RNAcentral describes it as "partial 16S ribosomal RNA". It matches the Rfam family "Bacterial small subunit ribosomal RNA", at positions 338 to 795 of the family's 1533-position model. The record is from RNAcentral.